CAAAGAAUAGUUUAACUAAGAAUGUUAGCUUUGGGAGCUAUUGAUGGGGGUUAAAAUCCCCCUUCUUUGA
RNAcentral lists this transfer RNA (70 nucleotides) under Strongylura anastomella. Its description in RNAcentral is "tRNA-Pro". It matches the Rfam family "tRNA". Rfam says of the family: Transfer RNA (tRNA) molecules are approximately 80 nucleotides in length. Their secondary structure includes four short double-helical elements and three loops (D, anti-codon, and T loops). Further hydrogen bonds mediate the characteristic L-shaped molecular structure. tRNAs have two regions of fundamental functional importance: the anti-codon, which is responsible for specific mRNA codon recognition, and the 3' end, to which the tRNAs corresponding amino acid is attached (by aminoacyl-tRNA synthetases). tRNAs cope with the degeneracy of the genetic code in two manners: having more than one tRNA (with a specific anti-codon) for a particular amino acid; and 'wobble' base-pairing, i.e. permitting non-standard base-pairing at the 3rd anti-codon position. Lineage: Eukaryota; Metazoa; Chordata; Actinopteri; Beloniformes; Belonidae. The record is from RNAcentral.